AACGUAGGUGGCAAGCGUUAUCCGGAUUUACUGGGCGUAAAGGGUGUGCAGGCGGGGGUGCAAGUGGUGUAUGAAAUCUCCCGGCUUAACCGGGGGGGGUUAUGCCAGACUGCAAUUCUAGAGGACGAGAGAGGGGGGUGGAAUUCCGGGUGUAGUGGUGAAAUUCGUAGAUAUUCGGAGGAACACCAGUGGCGAAGGCGGCUCACUGGUCCGGUACUGACGCUGAGGUGCGAAAGCGUGGGGAGCAAACAGG
Molecule: ribosomal RNA, 253 nt
Filed under: uncultured bacterium
Lineage: Bacteria
Description: partial 16S ribosomal RNA
Rfam family: Bacterial small subunit ribosomal RNA
Source: RNAcentral